RNAcentral lists this ribosomal RNA (253 nucleotides) under uncultured bacterium. RNAcentral describes it as "partial 16S ribosomal RNA". It matches the Rfam family "Bacterial small subunit ribosomal RNA", at positions 524 to 776 of the family's 1533-position model. The record is from RNAcentral.
UACGUAGGGUGCGAGCGUUGUCCGGAAUUAUUGGGCGUAAAGAGCUUGUAGGCGGUCUGUCGCGUCUGCUGUGAAAAUCCGGGGCUCAACCCCGGACUUGCAGUGGGUACGGGCAGACUAGAGUGUGGUAGGGGAGACUGGAAUUCCUGGUGUAGCGGUGAAAUGCGCAGAUAUCAGGAGGAACACCGAUGGCGAAGGCAGGUCUCUGGGCCAUAACUGACGCUGAGAAGCGAAAGCAUGGGGAGCGAACAGG